Molecule: ribosomal RNA, 490 nt
Filed under: uncultured bacterium
Lineage: Bacteria
Description: partial 16S ribosomal RNA
Rfam family: Bacterial small subunit ribosomal RNA
Source: RNAcentral
AUUGAACGCUGGCGGCAGGCCUAACACAUGCAAGUCGAACGGUAACAGGAAGCAGCUUGCUGCUUUGCUGACGAGUGGCGGACGGGUGAGUAAUGUCUGGGAAACUGCCUGAUGGAGGGGGAUAACUACUGGAAACGGUAGCUAAUACCGCAUAACGUCGCAAGACCAAAGAGGGGGACCUUCGGGCCCCUUGCCUUCGAUUGUGCCCAGAUGGGAUUAGCUAGUAGGUGGGGUAACGGCUCACCUAGGCGACGAUCCCUAGCUGGUCUGAGAGGAUGACCAGCCACACUGGAACUGAGACACGGUCCAGACUCCUACGGGAGGCAGCAGUGGGGAAUAUUGCACAAUGGGCGCAAGCCUGAUGCAGCCAUGCCGCGUGUAUGAAGAAGGCCUUCGGGUUGUAAAGUACUUUCAGCGGGGAGGAAGGGAGUAAAGUUAAUACCUUUGCUCAUUGACGUUACCCGCAGAAGAAGCACCGGCUAACUCCGUG